GACGAACGCUGGCGGCGUGCUUAACACAUGCCAGUCGAACGGAAAGGCCCUGCUUUUGUGGGGUGCUCGAGUGGCGAACGGGUGAGUAACACGUGAGUAACCUGCCCUUGACUUUGGGAUAACUUCAGGAAACUGGGGCUAAUACCGGAUAGGAGCUCCUGCUGCAUGGUGGGGGUUGGAAAGUUUCGGCGGUUGGGGAUGGCCUCGCGGCUUAUCAGCUUCUUGGUGGGGUAGUGGCUUACCACGGCUUUGACGGGUAGCCGGCCUGGGAAGGUGACCGGCCACAUUGGGACUGAGGUACGGCCCAGACUCCUACGGGAGGCAGCAGUGGGGAAUAUUGCAGAAUGGGCGGAAGCCUGAUGCAGCAACGCCGCGUGCGGGAUGACGGCCUUCGGGUUGUAAACCGCUUUCGAAUGUGACGAAGCGUGAGUGACGGUAAUGGGUAAAGAAGCACCGGCUAACUACGUG
Molecule: ribosomal RNA, 468 nt
Filed under: uncultured bacterium
Lineage: Bacteria
Description: partial 16S ribosomal RNA
Rfam family: Bacterial small subunit ribosomal RNA
Source: RNAcentral